Molecule: non-coding RNA, 820 nt
Organism: Prunus mume (Japanese apricot)
Lineage: Eukaryota; Viridiplantae; Streptophyta; Magnoliopsida; Rosales; Rosaceae
Source: RefSeq, a predicted model, not a curated record
AUGACCUAUAAUAUUAUGAAAAGAUGAAUGGAGAUCACAGUGAUAUCAGCCCAAGGCCUCAAAACCACCUCCCCUGCUAUCUUCUCAAACAAGAUCAGACCCUUCAUUACCCUGACCACCACCAACGGUGAUCACAAGUGCCACGUGUACAGCACAGGGGUGGAUGAUGAAGGAGGUAUCAACCCUACAUGGGGUGACAAAUUUCAUGUCCCUGUGGACACAAGUUUCUUCGCAAACAGGUACUCUUCCAUAUAUCUGCAGCUUUACAGCAAGCGGCUCAUAAUGGGCCGGACCCAGUUGGGCUGGUGCCAAAUCUCGCCCCAAGAUAUUGGGUUUCCGCCGGCCGGUUCAGCCCGGUACAUGAGUGAACGGCUCCGGGCUAGAGACGGUUCCAGGACCAAUGGGAUUGUGAACCUUUCUGUGAAGUUGGAAAAUUUGGGUCCGGUCAGCGGUCAUGGGCAGCCAAACUCCGUCAAUGCGCCGUCAUUUGGCAUGUGUGGCACAGUCAUUGGAACGCCGGUGACAGCUCUACUGCCACCUUUGGGUAAGGUCUCUGUGAGUUGUGAAGGGCGGUUAGAUCACGUGGGUUUUGGUUGUAAAGAGGCACAUAGAUGGACCACGUGUGAUUCUGAAGGGCACCCUUCCAGAAAUUGAGAGAGCAUCUCAACGCGCGAGUAUUACCACUACAUUAAUUGACAUUGGAUCAAAUUUUCAAAAAUUACGUGUUUUAUGUACCAAUUAGCUUAGCUUUUGGUUUAGUAUUUGUCGUUUAAAUAUCGAAAGAUGUUGCAAAUUUGAAUUAUUCAUCGGUCAUUAUAAA